AUACCCAAAGUCGGUUUGCUAACCUCGGAGGCGACCGCCUAAGGUAGGACUGGUGACUGGGGUGAAGUCGUAACAAGGUAUCCCUACGAGAACGUGGGGAUGGAUCACCUCCUUUCUACGGA
RNAcentral lists this ribosomal RNA (122 nucleotides) under Metamycoplasma equirhinis. RNAcentral's name for it is "Mycoplasma equirhinis partial 16S ribosomal RNA". It matches the Rfam family "Bacterial small subunit ribosomal RNA", at positions 1417 to 1533 of the family's 1533-position model. Lineage: Bacteria; Bacillati; Mycoplasmatota; Mycoplasmoidales; Metamycoplasmataceae. The record is from RNAcentral.